RNAcentral lists this non-coding RNA (133 nucleotides) under Urechidicola croceus. RNAcentral describes it as "Lutibacter sp. LPB0138 SAM riboswitch aptamer (S box leader)". It matches the Rfam family "SAM riboswitch aptamer (S box leader)". Rfam says of the family: The SAM riboswitch is found upstream of a number of genes which code for proteins involved in methionine or cysteine biosynthesis in Gram-positive bacteria. The SAM riboswitch acts at the level of transcription termination control. The predicted structure consists of a complex stem-loop region followed by a single stem loop terminator region. Lineage: Bacteria; Pseudomonadati; Bacteroidota; Flavobacteriia; Flavobacteriales; Flavobacteriaceae. RNAcentral also lists the same sequence under 1 other name. The record is from Rfam by way of RNAcentral.
AUGUUAUAGUGAAAGGCCGAGGGAAUAGACCCUUUGAAGCCUUAGCAACCCUUUAUUCGUAAAGAAGGUGCUAAAUUCUACUGUUUAUACUGGAUUUAUUCAGUACCUGUAAUAAGGAACAGAAAGAUAACAC